CCUACGGGCGGCAGCAGUGGGGAAUAUUGGGCCAUGGAGGCAACUCUGACCCAGCAACGCCGCGUGAAUGAUGAAGGUCUUCGGAUUGUUAAGUUCUGUGAUGGGGGCUGCACACAAUGACGGUACCCCAAUAGCAAGCCACGGCUAACUACGUGCCAGCAGCCGCGGUAAUACGGAGGUGGCAAGCGUUAUCCGGAAUGACUGGGCGUAAAGGGUGCGUAGGUGGUUUAGUAAGGUGGCGGGUUAAUUCCGGGGCUCAACCUCGGCGCCACCGCCAAAACUAUUAGACUAGAGUGCAGGGGGAGUAAGUGGAAUGCCUGGUGUAGCGGUGGAAUGCGUAGAUAUCAGGAGGAACAUCAGGUGCGAAGGCGACUUGCCGGACUGUAACUGACACUGAGGCACGAAAGCGUGGGGAGCAAACAGGAUUAGAUACCCGGGUAGUC
RNAcentral lists this ribosomal RNA (443 nucleotides) under uncultured bacterium. RNAcentral's name for it is "partial 16S ribosomal RNA". It matches the Rfam family "Bacterial small subunit ribosomal RNA", at positions 338 to 795 of the family's 1533-position model. The record is from RNAcentral.